GACGAACGCUGGCGGCGUGCUUAACACAUGCAAGUCGAACGAUGAAGCCGGAGCUUGCUCUGGUGAAUUAGUGGCGAACGGGUGAGUAACACGUGAGUAACCUGCCCUUGACUCUGGGAUAACUGCUAGAAAUGGUAGCUAAUACCGGAUACGACCCUCGGCGGCAUCGCCAGGGGGUGGAAAGAAUUUCGGUCAAGGAUGGACUCGCGGCCUAUCAGCUAGUUGGUGAGGUAACGGCUCACCAAGGCGACCACGGGUAGCCGGCCUGAGAGGGUGACCGGCCACACUGGGACUGAGAGACGGCCCAGACUCCUACGGGAGGCAGCAGUGGGGAAUAUUGCACAAUGGGCGCAAGCCUGAUGCAGCAACGCCGCGUGAGGGAUGACGGCCUUCGGGUUGUAAACCUCUUUUAGUAGGGAAGAAGCGAAAGUGACGGUACCUGCAGAAAAAGCACCGGCUAACUACGUGCCAGCCGCCGCUGUAA
Molecule: ribosomal RNA, 484 nt
Filed under: uncultured bacterium
Lineage: Bacteria
Description: partial 16S ribosomal RNA
Rfam family: Bacterial small subunit ribosomal RNA
Source: RNAcentral